UUAAUAAACAUAUUCACUAUUAUUUAUUUUAAUUUAUUUUACCACAACAAACUGUAUGUAAAUUAUUUGUGUGUGUUAAUAUUUGUUCGGGCCACAGGAACCUAUGUAGUUGAGCCCCGGGGUCAAAAAGGUUAAGACUUUCCUCCUGCUUGCAAACAAAUAAUUGUCCCAAGGAAAUAACAUGUAUAAAUUAACAGUAAAAUUUAGUGUAAAACACUUUAUUUUACAAAGUACAAUGUCUUGCAGAUUGAGUUGAUUUCCUAUUUGAUAAAUAUAUUUAAAAUUAAUUUAAUAACAUUAAUAUUUUUUUUUUAAUCUGGAAAAAUCGCAAAAAAUAUAAGUAAAAUUAGACUUCGCCAUGAAAUAUAUUUCUACAUUUUUUGCGUACUUUACUUUAUUUGUUACAGUCUGUCGGCGAAGUGCAGGUAAACGUGACUUUGACGUCAAAAACUCACAGGAAACGUACACACAAGCAAAAAAAAAAAAAAAAAAAAAAUGCAGGACAGGCUGGCAUAUGAAGAAGCCUGAUUGGCAACCUGGAACAGAUGUGCCCAGCUUGCCAAUCAGGGACAGGUGAGUGAGACAGCGCUCGGUCCAGAAGAGUGGAACUAAAAAAAAAGGUAAUACAUUAAGAGAUAGGGAAAUAUACAAAGAAAAUCAAAAUAAAAUUAUUUUCUUAAAAAAAAAAAAAAAAAGUCAUCCUUAAGUCAUGUUACCCUACCCUGCGGAAUAUUCCACAAGUCACAAGAAGUUGCAUCAUUCAGACCCUCUGCAGGCAAUGGCAAUAACAAAGAACAGCAAGAUGGCGCCCGUCGCCUCGUGCGUCCGCCGCUGCUAAUGCUGCCGGAGCAAUGCAACGUGGACGUCUCAGGCUGCAGACCCGCUGGCACACAAACGUCGGUCAAAAGUUCCUCACAACAGAAUGAAAACACUUAAAGUUCAUUCUAUCAGGUGGGACACAAUGAAAUGGGUGGUUGAGCAGGCGCCUCCCACCAUUAAAGCACUAAAUACAAGCGGGGCGAGGAGGAGGAGGGUCCCACCAGGGAGGUGAAGGUCAGCAGGUUCCUGAUGAAGGACUCGCGUGGCGAUGGCAAGAUGGAGGCCAAAGAACACGGCAGGUUAACUUUUUUAUUUUUCAAACAGGCACAAGGUUAACAUCAGAAGACACAUAAUAUUAAUUUAAUAUGAAAAAUUCAAUCAAAUGAUUUUACAAGUAGAAAUUAUGAGCUCUCUUUACUUUUACUAGAUACAAAUCCUAAUAUCAUAUUUAAUACAACAUAAAUAUUUUGUCAGGGUUCAAAUGUCAUUAGUAGUAAUUACAUUAGUCAAAAAAUCCCAAAGACGGUCAAGUCCCCUCUCAAUAAGUCAGUAUUCUUUUUCAUUUAACAUAUAUUUUAAAAUGAUUUAUUUUUUUUAUUUUUUAUCCAACUGUAUUAUUAUUUUAUGUAUUCAUGUAUUUUAGGUCUUCUUAACCUCCAUAUUAAAUUGUAACAAUCUGCCCAUAUUAUAAAACACAGAUUUAAACAAGGGAAACGUGCUAUUGCACUUUAUUAUUUCACUUAUCUAUAGUUUUUAAGACUGAAUAUUUAGAAAUGUGUCAUGCAAUUGUGCAUGAAAUCUACCUUUUAAAGUCCAUACAGGAUAUUUAGCAACAUAGUAUUUUGAAAGUCUUGUGUUUGCAGGGCUACUACAAACAUUGCAAGA
This is a long non-coding RNA of Entelurus aequoreus (snake pipefish), 1704 nucleotides long. RefSeq lists it as uncharacterized. Lineage: Eukaryota; Metazoa; Chordata; Actinopteri; Syngnathiformes; Syngnathidae. The transcript has 4 exons. The record is from RefSeq and is a predicted model, not a curated record.